GUGAUCCUGCCCUAUGAAAAAUUUUAAAUGGCCGCAGUACCCUGACUGUGCUAAGGUAGCAUAAUCAAUUGGCCUUUAAUUGAGGUCUAGAAUGAAUGGAUCAAUACGGAAGUGAUCUGUCUCCUUCAGAGUCUGUUGAAGUUAUCUUUAAGGGUGAAAAAGCCUUUAGUACGAAAAUAGACGAGAAGACCCUAAGAGUUUUAAUUAUAAGUAAAGGCUUUUACUUUUUUUUUUGCUGGGGCGGCAAAAAAACAAUUAACUUUCUUGCUUGUGUUUAUGAAGUCGACGCGAAAUUUUAUGAAGAACCAAUAAACUACCUUAGGGAUAACAGCAUAAUUAUUUUAAUGUUUGUGACCUCGAUGUUGGACUAGGAAAGCUUUAUGGCUAGCCGCCGAAAGUAUUAUGUUCUGUUCGAACACUUUAUC
RNAcentral lists this ribosomal RNA (425 nucleotides) under Paraoncidium sp. CC-2010. Its description in RNAcentral is "partial 16S ribosomal RNA". It matches the Rfam family "Archaeal large subunit ribosomal RNA", at positions 1945 to 2664 of the family's 2987-position model. Lineage: Eukaryota; Metazoa; Mollusca; Gastropoda; Systellommatophora; Onchidiidae. The record is from RNAcentral.